GAAACAUCUUCGGGUUGUGAGGUUAAGCGACUAAGCGUACACGGUGGAUGCCCUGGCAGUCAGAGGCGAUGAAGGACGUGCUAAUCUGCGAUAAGCGUCGGUAAGGUGAUAUGAACCGUUAUAACCGGCGAUUUCCGAAUGGGGAAACCCAGUGUGUUUCGACACACUAUCAUUAACUGAAUCCAUAGGUUAAUGAGGCGAACCGGGGGAACUGAAACAUCUAAGUACCCCGAGGAAAAGAAAUCAACCGAGAUUCCCCCAGUAGCGGCGAGCGAACGGGGAGCAGCCCAGAGCCUGAAUCAGUGUGUGUGUUAGUGGAAGCGUCUGGAAAGGCGCGCGAUACAGGGUGACAGCCCCGUACACAAAAAUGCACAUACUGUGAGCUCGAUGAGUAGGGCGGGACACGUGGUAUCCUGUCUGAAUAUGGGGGGACCAUCCUCCAAGGCUAAAUACUCCUGACUGACCGAUAGUGAACCAGUACCGUGAGGGAAAGGCGAAAAGAACCCCGGCGAGGGGAGUGAAAAAGAACCUGAAACCGUGUACGUACAAGCAGUGGGAGCACGCUUAGGCGUGUGACUGCGUACCUUUUGUAUAAUGGGUCAGCGACUUAUAUUCUGUAGCAAGGUUAACCGAAUAGGGGAGCCGAAGGGAAACCGAGUCUUAACUGGGCGUUAAGUUGCAGGGUAUAGACCCGAAACCCGGUGAUCUAGCCAUGGGCAGGUUGAAGGUUGGGUAACACUAACUGGAGGACCGAACCGACUAAUGUUGAAAAAUUAGCGGAUGACUUGUGGCUGGGGGUGAAAGGCCAAUCAAACCGGGAGAUAGCUGGUUCUCCCCGAAAGCUAUUUAGGUAGCGCCUCGUGAAUUCAUCUCCGGGGGUAGAGCACUGUUUCGGCAAGGGGGUCAUCCCGACUUACCAACCCGAUGCAAACUGCGAAUACCGGAGAAUGUUAUCACGGGAGACACACGGCGGGUGCUAACGUCCGUCGUGAAGAGGGAAACAACCCAGACCGCCAGCUAAGGUCCCAAAGUCAUGGUUAAGUGGGAAACGAUGUGGGAAGGCCCAGACAGCCAGGAUGUUGGCUUAGAAGCAGCCAUCAUUUAAAGAAAGCGUAAUAGCUCACUGGUCGAGUCGGCCUGCGCGGAAGAUGUAACGGGGCUAAACCAUGCACCGAAGCUGCGGCAGCGACGCUGAUGCGUUGUUGGGUAGGGGAGCGUUCUGUAAGCCUGCGAAGGUGUGCUGUGAGGCAUGCUGGAGGUAUCAGAAGUGCGAAUGCUGACAUAAGUAACGAUAAAGCGGGUGAAAAGCCCGCUCGCCGGAAGACCAAGGGUUCCUGUCCAACGUUAAUCGGGGCAGGGUGAGUCGACCCCUAAGGCGAGGCCGAAAGGCGUAGUCGAUGGGAAACAGGUUAAUAUUCCUGUACUUGGUGUUACUGCGAAGGGGGGACGGAGAAGGCUAUGUUGGCCGGGCGACGGUUGUCCCGGUUUAAGCGUGUAGGCUGGUUUUCCAGGCAAAUCCGGAAAAUCAAGGCUGAGGCGUGAUGACGAGGCACUACGGUGCUGAAGCAACAAAUGCCCUGCUUCCAGGAAAAGCCUCUAAGCAUCAGGUAACAUCAAAUCGUACCCCAAACCGACACAGGUGGUCAGGUAGAGAAUACCAAGGCGCUUGAGAGAACUCGGGUGAAGGAACUAGGCAAAAUGGUGCCGUAACUUCGGGAGAAGGCACGCUGAUAUGUAGGUGAAGCGACUUGCUCGUGGAGCUGAAAUCAGUCGAAGAUACCAGCUGGCUGCAACUGUUUAUUAAAAACACAGCACUGUGCAAACACGAAAGUGGACGUAUACGGUGUGACGCCUGCCCGGUGCCGGAAGGUUAAUUGAUGGGGUCAGCGCAAGCGAAGCUCUUGAUCGAAGCCCCGGUAAACGGCGGCCGUAACUAUAACGGUCCUAAGGUAGCGAAAUUCCUUGUCGGGUAAGUUCCGACCUGCACGAAUGGCGUAAUGAUGGCCAGGCUGUCUCCACCCGAGACUCAGUGAAAUUGAACUCGCUGUGAAGAUGCAGUGUACCCGCGGCAAGACGGAAAGACCCCGUGAACCUUUACUAUAGCUUGACACUGAACAUUGAGCCUUGAUGUGUAGGAUAGGUGGGAGGCUUUGAAGUGUGGACGCCAGUCUGCAUGGAGCCGACCUUGAAAUACCACCCUUUAAUGUUUGAUGUUCUAACGUUGACCCGUGAUCCGGGUUGCGGACAGUGUCUGGUGGGUAGUUUGACUGGGGCGGUCUCCUCCUAAAGAGUAACGGAGGAGCACGAAGGUUGGCUAAUCCUGGUCGGACAUCAGGAGGUUAGUGCAAUGGCAUAAGCCAGCUUGACUGCGAGCGUGACGGCGCGAGCAGGUGCGAAAGCAGGUCAUAGUGAUCCGGUGGUUCUGAAUGGAAGGGCCAUCGCUCAACGGAUAAAAGGUACUCCGGGGAUAACAGGCUGAUACCGCCCAAGAGUUCAUAUCGACGGCGGUGUUUGGCACCUCGAUGUCGGCUCAUCACAUCCUGGGGCUGAAGUAGGUCCCAAGGGUAUGGCUGUUCGCCAUUUAAAGUGGUACGCGAGCUGGGUUUAGAACGUCGUGAGACAGUUCGGUCCCUAUCUGCCGUGGGCGCUGGAGAACUGAGGGGGGCUGCUCCUAGUACGAGAGGACCGGAGUGGACGCAUCACUGGUGUUCGGGUUGUCAUGCCAAUGGCACUGCCCGGUAGCUAAAUGCGGAAGAGAUAAGUGCUGAAAGCAUCUAAGCACGAAACUUGCCCCGAGAUGAGUUCUCCCUGACUCCUUGAGAGUCCUGAAGGAACGUUGAAGACGACGACGUUGAUAGGCCGGGUGUGUAAGCGCAGCGAUGCGUUGAGCUAACCGGUACUAAUGAACCGUGAGGCUUAACCUU
Molecule: ribosomal RNA, 2924 nt
Filed under: Escherichia coli 5.0959
Lineage: Bacteria; Pseudomonadati; Pseudomonadota; Gammaproteobacteria; Enterobacterales; Enterobacteriaceae
Description: bacterial LSU rRNA
Rfam family: Bacterial large subunit ribosomal RNA
Source: RNAcentral